GAGUCGAGAAAGGGAGGGGGCGAAGAGGAGGAUUCACGUCUUUGUUAGAACCCUAACAAGGAAGAUGAUCGCUCUUGAGGUUGAGAGCAGAGACACCGUCGACGAGGUCAGAUCUAAGAUCCAGAGAGGAGAAUUCAUGUAUACGUUGCGAUGGUCUUCUUGAACGGAACUUGGAAUGCUAAUUAUGUCUUCAAGUCCAUUCAAGAAUUCAUCUUGAAGCAAUUAUAUAUUGUCGUUGUUGCAGCCAUUCAAGGAUAAAUUGGCCAUGAGAGGUUUCUUCCUCAGACAUUUCGAUAGAGUUUGAUUUGCUUUGAAAGAAGUGGCAAGGACAUUUUCAUCGGAUGUUCCUCGAAGAACUAAACGUCUGAGAUUUAGGAGAGGGGUAGCACAUAAUGGAAGUAGCAUGUAAUUUGACAUAGGAGUGCCUAA
Musa acuminata AAA Group (dessert banana) is the source of this 429-nucleotide long non-coding RNA. RefSeq lists it as uncharacterized. NCBI's taxonomy places the organism in Eukaryota, Viridiplantae, Streptophyta, Magnoliopsida, Zingiberales, Musaceae. The record is from RefSeq and is a predicted model, not a curated record. The transcript is spliced from 3 exons.